This 367-nucleotide ribosomal RNA is filed under the name uncultured organism. RNAcentral describes it as "bacterial SSU rRNA". It matches the Rfam family "Bacterial small subunit ribosomal RNA", at positions 526 to 896 of the family's 1533-position model. The record is from RNAcentral.
CGGAGGGUGCAAGCGUUAUCCGGAUUUAUGGGUUUAAAGGGUCCGUAGGCGGAUCCGUAAGUCAGUGGUGAAAUCUCACAGCUUAACUGUGAAACUGCCAUUGAUACUGCGGGUCUUGAGUAAGGUAGAAGUGGCUGGAAUAAGUAGUGUAGCGGUGAAAUGCAUAGAUAUUACUUAGAACACCAAUUGCGAAGGCAGGUCACUAUGUCUUAACUGACGCUGAUGGACGAAAGCGUGGGGAGCGAACAGGAUUAGAUACCCUGGUAGUCCACGCCGUAAACGAUGCUAACUCGUUUUUGGGCUUUCGGGUUCAGAGACUAAGCGAAAGUGAUAAGUUAGCCACCUGGGGAGUACGUUCGCAAGAAUG